UACGGAGGGUGCAAGCGUUAUCCGGAUUCACUGGGUUUAAAGGGUGCGUAGGUGGACAGGUAAGUCAGUGGUGAAAUCUCCAAGCUUAACUUGGAAACUGCCGUUGAUACUAUCUGUCUUGAAUAUCGUGGAGGUAAGCGGAAUAUGUCAUGUAGCGGUGAAAUGCUUAGAUAUGACAUAGAACACCGAUUGCGAAGGCAGCUUACUACACGAUCAUUGACACUGAGGCACGAAAGCGUGGGGAGCAAACAGG
RNAcentral lists this ribosomal RNA (253 nucleotides) under uncultured bacterium. RNAcentral describes it as "partial 16S ribosomal RNA". It matches the Rfam family "Bacterial small subunit ribosomal RNA", at positions 524 to 776 of the family's 1533-position model. The record is from RNAcentral. RNAcentral also lists the same sequence under 1 other name.